Molecule: ribosomal RNA, 371 nt
Filed under: uncultured bacterium
Lineage: Bacteria
Description: bacterial SSU rRNA
Rfam family: Bacterial small subunit ribosomal RNA
Source: RNAcentral
GAAGGGUGCAAGCGUUACUCGGAAUUACUGGGCGUAAAGGGUGCGUAGGUGGUUGUUUAAGUCUGUUGUGAAAGCCCCGGGCUCAACCUGGGAAUGGCAAUGGAUACUGGACAGCUAGAGUGCGGUAGAGGGUAGUGGAAUUCCCGGUGUAGCAGUGAAAUGCGUAGAGAUCGGGAGGAACACCAGUGGCGAAGGCGGCUACCUGGACCAGCACUGACACUGAAGCACGAAAGCGUGGGGAGCAAACAGGAUUAGAUACCCUGGUAGUCCACGCCCUAAACGAUGCGAACUGGACGUUGGGAGCAACUUGGCUCUCAGUGUCGAAGCUAACGCGUUAAGUUCGCCGCCUGGGGAGUACGGUCGCAAGACUG